Molecule: ribosomal RNA, 429 nt
Filed under: Bacteroidota bacterium
Lineage: Bacteria; Pseudomonadati; Bacteroidota
Description: Bacteroidetes bacterium partial 16S ribosomal RNA
Rfam family: Bacterial small subunit ribosomal RNA
Source: RNAcentral
UAGGGAAUCUUCCGCAAUGGACGCAAGUCUGACGGAGCAACGCCGCGUGAGUGAAGAAGGAUUUCGGUUCGUAAAACUCUGUUGUUAGAGAAGAACAGCGCAUAGAGUAACUGUUAUGCGUGUGACGGUAUCUAACCAGAAAGUCACGGCUAACUACGUGCCAGCAGCCGCGGUAAUACGUAGGUGGCAAGCGUUGUCCGGAUUUAUUGGGCGUAAAGCGAGCGCAGGCGGUCAAUUAAGUCUGAUGUGAAAGCCCCCGGCUCAACCGGGGAGGGUCAUUGGAAACUGGUUGACUUGAGCGCAGAAGAGGAGAGUGGAAUUCCAUGUGUAGCGGUGAAAUGCGUAGAUAUAUGGAGGAACACCAGUGGCGAAGGCGACUCUCUGGUCUGUAACUGACGCUGAGGCUCGAAAGCGUGGGUAGCAAACAGG